This 601-nucleotide ribosomal RNA is filed under the name uncultured bacterium. RNAcentral describes it as "bacterial SSU rRNA". It matches the Rfam family "Bacterial small subunit ribosomal RNA", at positions 73 to 650 of the family's 1533-position model. The record is from RNAcentral.
UUCCGAUUCGUCGGGAGAGUAAAGUGGCGAAUGGGUGAGUAAUGUGAGGGUAAUUUACCCUUGAAUUAGGGAUAACCUUGCGAAAGCGAAGCUAAUACCUAAUAAGACUACAGUUUCUUAGGAGACAGUAGGAAAAGAUGGCCUCUGUUUCAAGCUAUCGUUUAAGGAUGAGCCCUUUUACUAUUAGCUAGUUGGUGAGGUAAUGGCUCACCAAGGCGAAGAUGGUUAGCUGGUCUGAGAGGAUGAUCAGCCACACUGGAACUGAGACACGGUCCAGACUCCUACGGGAGGCAGCAGUGAGGAAUAUUGCGCAAUGGGGGAAACCCUGACGCAGUGACGCCGCGUGAGUGAUGAAGGCUUUCGAGUCGUAAAGCUCUGUGAGGUGGAAAGAAAUGUUUAGGUGCUAAUACCGCCUAAAUUUGACGGUACCACCAGAGGAAGCACCGGCUAACUCCGUGCCAGCAGCCGCGGUAAUACGGAGGGUGCAAGCGUUGUUCGGAAUUACUGGGCGUAAAGGGCGUGUAGGCGGUUGAGCAAGUCAGGUGUGAAAUCCCUUAGCUUAACUAAGGAAGUGCAUUUGAAACUGCUUGACUAGAGUACA